GACGGCUGGACGGCUGCUCUUCCUUCGGGGAGGGAGGAAAGUCCGGGCUCCACGGAAACACGGUGCCGGGUAACGCCCGGCGGGGGCGACCCUAGGGAAAGUGCCACAGAAAGCAAACCGCCCGCGUCCGCGCGGGUAAGGGUGAAAGGGUGCGGUAAGAGCGCACCGCGCUGCCGGUAACGGUGGCGGCACGGUAAACCCCACCGGGAGCAAGACCAAGUAGGAGUGGCAGGGUCCUUUCGCGGGACCAGGCGGCGUUUCCGCUGCUGCCGCUCGGGUAGGUCGCGCGAGGCGUCCGGUAACGGGCGUCCCAGAUGAAUGGCCGUCCACUCCGGCGUGGCCGGACGGACAGAACCCGGCUUACAGGCCGUCUGA
Molecule: RNase P RNA, 375 nt
Filed under: marine eukaryotic metagenome
Description: Bacterial RNase P class A
Rfam family: Bacterial RNase P class A
About the family: Ribonuclease P (RNase P) is a ubiquitous endoribonuclease, found in archaea, bacteria and eukarya as well as chloroplasts and mitochondria.
Source: RNAcentral